Molecule: ribosomal RNA, 301 nt
Filed under: Staphylococcus epidermidis
Lineage: Bacteria; Bacillati; Bacillota; Bacilli; Caryophanales; Staphylococcaceae
Description: partial 16S ribosomal RNA
Rfam family: Bacterial small subunit ribosomal RNA
Source: RNAcentral
UUUUAUGGAGAGUUUGAUCCUGGCUCAGGAUGAACGCUGGCGGCGUGCCUAAUACAUGCAAGUCGAGCGAACAGACGAGGAGCUUGCUCCUCUGACGUUAGCGGCGGACGGGUGAGUAACACGUGGAUAACCUACCUAUAAGACUGGGAUAACUUCGGGAAACCGGAGCUAAUACCGGAUAAUAUAUUGAACCGCAUGGUUCAAUAGUGAAAGACGGUUUUGCUGUCACUUAUAGAUGGAUCCGCGCCGCAUUAGCUAGUUGGUAAGGGAACGGCUUACAAGGCAACACUGCGUAUGCGAC